RNAcentral lists this ribosomal RNA (910 nucleotides) under uncultured bacterium. Its description in RNAcentral is "bacterial SSU rRNA". It matches the Rfam family "Bacterial small subunit ribosomal RNA", at positions 33 to 916 of the family's 1533-position model. The record is from RNAcentral.
AUGCUGGCGGCGUGCCUAACACAUGCAAGUCGAGCGGCAGCGAGUUUUACACUGAAUUCUGGAAGCUUCUGGGUAAUAUAGAAGAUCUAUUCAAGAAUUUUGUGUAAAAUGUCGGCGAGCGGCGGACGGCUGAGUAACGCGUAGGAAUUUGCCCCAAAGUGAGGAAUAACUGCCCGAAAGGGUAGCUAAUGCCGCAUAUGGUCUUCGGAUUAAAGCCUUCGGGCGCUUUGGGAGAAGCCUGCGUUGGAUUAGGUAGUUGGUAGGGUAAUGGCCUACCAAGCCGACGAUCCAUAGCUGGUCUGAGAGGAUGAUCAGCCAGACUGGAACUGAGACACGGUCCAGACUCCUACGGGAGGCAGCAGUGAGGAAUCUUCCACAAUGGGCGAAGGCCUGAUGGAGCAACGCCGCGUGAAGGAUGAAGGCCUUCGGGUUGUAAACUUCUUUUAUGAGUGAAGAAUAUGACGGUAACUCAUGAAUAAGCACCGGCUAACUACGUGCCAGCAGCCGCGGUCAUACGUAGGGUGCAAGCAUUAUCCGGAGUGACUGGGCGUAAAGAGUUGCGUAGGCGGUUUAAUAAGUGAAUAGUGAAACCUGGUGGCUCAACCAUACAGACUAUUAUUCAAACUGUUAAACUCGAGAAUGGUAGAGGUAACUGGAAUUUCUAGUGUAGGAGUGAAAUCCGUAGAUAUUAGAAGGAACACCGAUGGCGUAGGCAGGUUACUGGGCCAUUUCUGACGCUAAGGCACGAAAGCGUGGGGAGCGAACCGGAUUAGAUACCCGGGUAGUCCACGCCGUAAACGAUGGAUACUAGCUGUUGGAGGUAUCGACCCCUUCAGUAGCGAAGCUAACGCGUUAAGUAUCCCGCCUGGUGGAGUACGGCCGCAAGGCUAAAACAUAAAGGAAUUGACGG